CGUAGGCGGUUUGUCGCGUCUGCUGUGAAAGCCCGGGGCUUAACCCCGGGUGUGCAGUGGGUACGGGCAGACUUGAGUGCAGUAGGGGAGACUGGAACUCCUGGUGUAGCGGUGAAAUGCCAAUAUCAGAAGAACACCGAUGGCGAAGCAGUCUCUGGGCUGUUACUGACGCUGAGGAGCGAAAGCAUGGGGAGCGAACAGGAUUAAUACCUGGUAGUCCAUGCCGUAAACGUGGGCACUAGUGUGGGGGACAUCCACGUUUCCGCGCCGUACUAACGCAUUAAGUGCCCCGCCUGGGGAGUACGGCGCAGGCUAAAACUCAAAGGAAUUGACGGGGGCCCGCACAAGCGGCGGAGCAUGCGGAUUAAUUCGAUGCAACGCGAAGAACCUUACCAAGGCUUGACAUACACCGGACCGGCUCAGAGAUGGGUUUUCCUCCUUGUGGGGCUGGUGUACAGGUGGUGCAUGGUUGUCGUCAGCUCGUGUCGUGAGAUGUUGGGUUAAGUCCCGCAACGAGCGCAACCCUCGUUCUAUGUUGCCAGCACGUGAUGGUGGGGACUCAUAGGAGACUGCCGGGGUCAACUCGGAGGAAGGUGGGGAUGACGUCAAAUCAUCAUGCCCCUUAUGUCUUGGGCUUCACGCAUGCUACAAUGGCCAGUACAAUGGGUUGCGAUACCGUGAGGUGGAGCUAAUCCCAAAAAGCUGGUCUCAGUUCGGAUCGUGGUCUGCAACUCGACCACGUGAAGU
Molecule: ribosomal RNA, 747 nt
Filed under: uncultured bacterium
Lineage: Bacteria
Description: bacterial SSU rRNA
Rfam family: Bacterial small subunit ribosomal RNA
Source: RNAcentral